Molecule: long non-coding RNA, 2664 nt
Organism: Malurus melanocephalus (red-backed fairy wren)
Lineage: Eukaryota; Metazoa; Chordata; Aves; Passeriformes; Maluridae
Exons: 5
Source: RefSeq, a predicted model, not a curated record
CUGGAAGAUCUCUCUUUCUCUGGGAAAAAGAGGGCUGCUGUGAGCCUUAUUUCACUGUGAUCAAGUUAUUUCUGCUGGACAAUAUGAAAAACAAAUCAGGGAGUCUUAGAUGCCAUAUUUUGAAGAAAAUGAAUCUGGUUUCAGUGCAGCUGGAUGUGGAAAGAAGUACUGAACUAACUGACUGCAUGGAUUUGCAACCAGCAGCUCAGCAGCUGCUUCAUGAACCAUCCUUGCAGGAGGGGAACAUSAGAAAGAUGGAUUCCUUGAACAAGGAAGAUAUGGCAGGUUGUGAUAUUGGACUGCAGUGAAGUUCCACCUGUGCUAUUCUACCCCUCAUGAGCAAGCAGUGCUGGGCUAUGCAGCUGGCAUGAGCGUGCCCUUUUUGGGGAGAGAAGAUAAGUUUGUGUACUCACCUUCUAUUUGGAAAAAUAUUGUGAUGUGAAGUCUUUCUUCUUCCAGAGGCUUGAGCCACUUGCUUUUGAUCUGUGAGCUCACAGUACAGAAGUAGACUGAAUGAAGCCUCUGUCAAGAAUCCUGCUAAAAUUCUCAGUUAACGUAGCCAAGAACCAGCACAUCAGGAGUAUAGCCWUCUAUCAAGAAUAGUGUGGAGAUACACCUUGCUCACAGAAGCUCUGGAAACAUUGUGAACUCAGACCCAGUGCAUCCUCAGACGACAGGGAUGUUGCUGCUCUCUGAGUACUGCACACUGUUUUAAUGAUUGAUGGAAAUAAUGGGCAAUUUUGGGAACUUAGUAGUAUGUAUGGGAGACAGACACAGGAGCUCUAAUAGAGUGGCUGAUUUUGUGGGGCAAGGUAUAGCUUCUGUUCUCUUUUGCACCUGCAAACCUGGUGUAAUAUUAAUUAGAUUGUUAUUAGGUUUCAUUAGUGAAGCUCCAUAAAACAAAAAAGGAAAUGUUCUGGUGAUACUAAAACUUGGUAUGUUAUUUAUACAAAGCAGGUGAGCAGUGUUCAGUAGUCGUGAAACACUGCUUUUCCAGAAAUAMGAAAUGUUUAGGUAAAAUGGCUAGGUAAAAUCUAAUGGGGAUUUGAUUACUAGCUGGUAAAAUGGUGCCUCUUCCCUUCUAAAUAGGUUUGAUCCUCYCUUCAAUGCAAGCCCUGCACCUUCACCUACAUUCCUUCCCAGGCAGCUGCAGUGGAUCUGCUCACCAAGGGAAUUUGGCCCACUGGAUUCCUUUUCUUUCUGUGCAGUUGAAUGAAAAGUGUGUGUCCUUUGAAGAACAGCAACUGAAAGAAAUAUUGAUGACUGCCAGGGCAUCAACAGAAAAGGAUAAGAAAAUUACUACAACAGCAAAGACAAAGGGACUUUGUUAACUCUUUCUUGUAGGUUGUAUAUAUUAAUAGUAACAAGUAAAGUUUUGUAUUUUUUUCAGAGAAACACACAAGGCCUUGAAUUGUAUUGUUUUAAUUGCAGCUAACUGAAUGAAUUAAGUGGAAAAUCACAAACAGUACUUUGAUUGUCUAACUCUGUAUGUGAGGCUUUGGGAACAGUUUGUUAUUAUAAAAGAACAGCACUAACAAGAAAUCAGCCAACAUGUAAUUGCUGGGUUGAGGGGCAGUUUGGGGAAAGCUGAUACUUAUUUAUAAAUUAUUAAAUAAAAGCACAUAAUAUGUGGAUCAUCUCUCACUGCCUCCACACUUCAUACAUUACUCAUCUUCCUAAAUUUCAUGUUUUUUUACUCCCUUAGUACAUUGCUGCUUAUAACCAGUGCAGGCAUCAAAAACACCCACAUCCAGGAAAGGAGAUGCCUGUGUGUUUGUUAUGAUGGCAGUUCUGGUUACGGGACUCAUCUAAGAUUAAGAACCUUCASUUCAAGGGAAGGAGUCUAGUCAAGACUUUUAAAGGUUGUUUUCCCUACGUAAAAUACACCUSAGCACCUGGGACUGUUCAGAUGGCUGAAACUCUCACAGCUGUUUCUGCUUGACUGGCAAGGUCUGUUUCAGAGGACACAGAUGCAGUUCCUCAUGUGCCACUUUAGAAGGGUUGGGUAAUGUCUGGCCUCACCAGUGAGAUGUGUGUUACAGACCAAGAGCCCCUGGUGAUCUGCAGCAGAGGGUCUGGGGAUGGAAAGCUGUGCCAGCACCUGGAUAGUUGGCCCUGCUGGACACAUCUUUGGACUGGCUGAGCUUCUGCAUACAAUGACAUUUGUGCUGUACAAACAAACCACACUAUUAAACCAUUUUAACACUGUCUAUGCAACUUUAAAAUGGUAGAGGCUUGAUUUUUACUUCAUCUGCAGGCUUUUGAAAACUUACAUGUCCAUGCUGAAGUGGUAUGAAGAUUAAAUUGCCAAUCCUAGCUCCCAGCCUAGACUGUUGCGCAGAAGGUGCCUGAGAGGUGGACCUGGGCAGAGUUCAGCUUUAUACAGCUCUUGCCAAGAGUUAUUUGGUAUCCCUGUCACUGUUUAUUGAGGUAAAAAAAUAUUUUCCCCCUAAUAAGCUGUUUUUCUUUGAGAGAACACAGCUGCAUUUAUGACAGGUCUUGGCUUCUACGGUAAGUUUGGUUUGUAUAGUUUCCUCUCUCUAUGUAUGUUGUCAGCGUAAGUACCAACAGUCAUAAUGUAAAACACAGUUUUGUUACAGGAGCUUUUAACAGUGGUUUUCAGUAAUUUAGAAAACAUCGGAGCUAUUUCCAAAAAAUGAAAAA